UACGUAGGGUGCGAGCGUUGUCCGGAAUUAUUGGGCGUAAAGGGCUCGUAGGCGGUUUGUCGCGUCGGGAGUGAAAACCCAGGGCUUAACUCUGGGCUUGCUUUCGAUACGGGCAGACUAGAGGUAUGCAGGGGAGAACGGAAUUCCUGGUGUAGCGGUGAAAUGCGCAGAUAUCAGGAGGAACACCGGUGGCGAAGGCGGGUCUCUGGGCCGAUACUGACGCUGAGGCGCGAAAGCGUGGGGAGCAAACAGG
RNAcentral lists this ribosomal RNA (253 nucleotides) under uncultured bacterium. Its description in RNAcentral is "partial 16S ribosomal RNA". It matches the Rfam family "Bacterial small subunit ribosomal RNA", at positions 524 to 776 of the family's 1533-position model. The record is from RNAcentral.